GGGAUAGCCCAGGGAAACCUGGAUUAAUACCGGAUGAGACGGGACCCGCGAAGGCGGGACCCGGGAAAGGCGCUGCGGCGCCGCCGGGGGAUGAGUCUGCGUCCCAUUAGCUAGACGGCGGGGUAACGGCCCACCGUGGCGACGAUGGGUAGCCGGCCUGAGAGGGUGGACGGCCACAUUGGAACUGAGACACGGUCCAGACUCCUACGGGAGGCAGCAGCUAAGAAUCUUCCGCAAUGGGCGAAAGCCUGACGGGAAGCGACGCCGCGUGAACGAAGAAGGCCGUGAGGUUGUAAAGUUCUUUUCGGGAGGGGGAACAACCGUGGCAGGGAAUGGCCGCGGGAUGACGUGAAUCCCGGAAUAAGCCCCGGCUAACUACGUGCCAGCCGCCGC
RNAcentral lists this ribosomal RNA (393 nucleotides) under uncultured bacterium. RNAcentral's name for it is "bacterial SSU rRNA". It matches the Rfam family "Bacterial small subunit ribosomal RNA", at positions 140 to 518 of the family's 1533-position model. The record is from RNAcentral.